AUUGAACGCUGGCGGCAGGCUUAACACAUGCAAGUCGAGCGGAGUGAUGGUGCUUGCACUAUCACUUAGCGGCGGACGGGUGAGUAAUGCUUAGGAAUCUGCCUAUUAGUGGGGGACAACAUCUCGAAAGGGAUGCUAAUACCGCAUACGUCCUACGGGAGAAAGCAGGGGAUCACUUGUGACCUUGCGCUAAUAGAUGAGCCUAAGUCGGAUUAGCUAGUUGGUGGGGUAAAGGCCUACCAAGGCGACGAUCUGUAGCGGGUCUGAGAGGAUGAUCCGCCACACUAGCACUGAGACACGGCCCAGACUCCUACGGGAGGCAGCAGUGGGGAAUAUUGGACAAUGGGGGGAACCCUGAUCCAGCCAUGCCGCGUGUGUGAAGAAGGCCUUAUGGUUGUAAAGCACUUUAAGCGAGGAGGAGGCUCUUUUGGUUAAUACCCAAGAUGAGUGGACGUUACUCGCAGAAUAAGCACCGGCUAACUCUGUGCCAGCAGCCGCAGUAA
Molecule: ribosomal RNA, 503 nt
Filed under: uncultured bacterium
Lineage: Bacteria
Description: partial 16S ribosomal RNA
Rfam family: Bacterial small subunit ribosomal RNA
Source: RNAcentral